AACAUGUCCUUUUGUUUAUUUAUAUAAGGUCUGACCUGCCCAAUGAUUUAUUUAAUGGCCGCAGUAUUUUAACUGUGCUAAGGUAGCAUAAUCACUUGUCUUUUAAUUAAGGGCUAGAAUGAAGGGUUGGACGAGAUAUUAACUUUCUUUAAUUUAAUUAUUGAAUUUAAUUUUUAAGUGAAAAAGCUUAAAUUUAUUUAUUGGACGAGAAGACCCUAUAGAUCUUAACAUUUCGUUUAAUUAUAGCUUUUAGGGAUUGAAGAUUCGUUUUAAUUAAAUAUAUGUUUGGUUGGGGUGAUUUCAAAAUUAUAAUAACUUUUGUUCAUGUUUUUCGUUAAUUAACGUUUUGUUGAUCCAUUUUUAUUGAUUUUAAGAUUAAGUUACCUUAGGGAUAACAGCGUAAUUAAUUCGGAGAGUUCAUAUCGAUGAAUUAGUUUGCGACCUCGAUGUUGGAUUAAAAUUAGUCUUAGGUGUAGAAUUUUACGGACUAGGUCUGUUCGACCUUUGAAAUUUUACAUGAUCU
This 523-nucleotide ribosomal RNA is filed under the name Apronius froeschneri. RNAcentral describes it as "partial large subunit ribosomal RNA". It matches the Rfam family "Bacterial large subunit ribosomal RNA", at positions 1812 to 2606 of the family's 2925-position model. Lineage: Eukaryota; Metazoa; Arthropoda; Insecta; Hemiptera; Reduviidae. The record is from RNAcentral.